GGGAGAGGGAAAGAAAGAGGAGGAGGAGGAGGAGGAGGAUCAAGGGGAAGAGGAGAGAAGAUUGUGAUAGGUCCUGCUUCUGUGAGAAUGGAGAGAGCUGGAGUUCCCCUGCUUUAAGGAAAGGGGUCGGCAUGGAUGCCCAGGGCCAUACCCUGCCCUUCAUUUCUCCAGGAGACCCGGCUUGGGACGCAGAGGAUUAAGGUGAGGAAGCCACCUUUUUCCUUGGACAGGUAAGAUCCAUGUCACUAUGCUCGUCGGGAGGGUCGCAGGCUAUCUAGAUUUCGUGUUUCAUUCUCUCUAGGAGACUGACCUGCACAGACAGAGCAAACCCACUACCCUGCGGGAACUGGGGUCCUGGAGUGCCCCCUAGUGGAAGCAGCUGGGCAUAACCGUGCACCCAGUGGAGACAGGACCAAAACCAACCUGGACAGCAGUAUUGACCAAGGGCUUUAAAGAGCACAGGCUGCACUUUGCAUUUUGUGCCCCGGGAACGACUCACAUUGAAGACGAUGUCUUCUGCGCCACAGUUCCUGACCUGACGAAAGACUGCGGAGAGCAGCUGCUGAAUGAUUUGUUCCCGCAGCUAAUGAGCUUCCGGCUGGCGUACUGUAUGCUUCCUUCACCUAAGACUGAACCAGGUGCUACUUCCUCUCGGAGAUUCAAGAGCACACCAGGCCCCAGUUUAUAUUCUCUAAGAGAGACGAUUUUAAGGACUCACACAAAUUCAGCAUGCACUGCAAUAAAUGGCAAGGAGGGGCUGGUGAGAUGGCUCAGUGGGUAAGAGCACCCGACUGCUCUUCCGAAGGUCUGGAGUUCAAAUCCCAGCAACCUUACAUGGUGGCUCACAACCAUCUGUAACAAGAUCUGACGCCCUCUUCUGGAGUGUCUGAAGACAGCUACAGUGUACUGACAUAUAAUAAAUAAAUAAAUCUAAAAAAAUAAAUAAAUAAAUAAAUAAAUAAAUAAAUAAAUGGCAAGGAAGGAAAAACAAAACAAAACAAAAAACAAGGCAGCAAGAACGUUUCACAGGAGGCCAGGGAGGACUUUCUGGAGGUGACACUGGAAAUGGCAAAGGGGCCUGGUGUGGUAAGAUAAGGUCACUUUGCAGGGCUGAUCUACUCUUGGGGGCCACUGGCCACAGCUCACUGCUAGGUGGGAACAGGAAGGGGGCAACAGCAAGGAGACAAAAAGAGGGAUUUUAGUUCCAAUCUUCACUAGGGAAUGUUAGUUGGAAACUCAUUUAAAAUGGAAAUUUGGAGUCUUUGCCCUUGUUGAGCCUAUUUAUAGUGUCUGUUCUUCAGACUAAGGCAUUCUCUGCUUCCUCCUCCUAUGUCAAGGAAUUUUUAUUGGGUACCAAACACUGUGAAAUUUAUGGUUUUGGCAGGUGGACUAUGCCAUGUGCCUUUAAAGAGCAUCGGAGCUUUUAUGGCAAGCUGAACUCUCAAUUGGAAACUUCUCUAGUCUUUUGAAGACUUGUAUUCAAGCCUUGAAGAACAGGCCAGGCAAGGCCUUCUCUUCUUGGCUAACGUCACCUCACUUUCAAGGUGUGGCACCAGGAACUGGCCCCCAUCUCUGCAGUUAAAUCAAGACUGACUCUGGCCACUGGGAACUCGAGCACUUCUCCACUCCUGUGAACACUACAGUUGGUCUUCCCUUGCUCGUGACCCUUGUUGCCAAGGUCUUCUCUCCUCCCAGGAGCUGGGAUGUUGAAGCAGGAGGAUCACCGAGCGUUCAAGGACAGCCUUGUCUACAUAGUGUUCCAGGACAUCCAGGGUUACAAAGAGACCCUGUCAAUUAAUGCUGAUGAUAAUAAAAGUGGGAGUAACUAAAGAAGACACACAGCAUGGGCCUCUGGCUUCUACAUGUGUGGUCAGGGGUGCACACCUAUGAAUGUUUGCUUUAUGGGAGAGUUUAUUAUGCAGCUCUGGCUGUCUUGGAUGUGAUACGGAGAACUGGCUGGCCUCAAACUCACAAGAUCCACCUGCCUCUGCCUUCUGGGUGCUAGGAUUAAAUCUAUGCACUAUUGAACUCAACCUACAAAUAAAUAUUUUUUAAAAGUGCAAGACAAAACCACAGAAAGCAGGCCCUCAGAAUGGUCCCACUGUCACCACUGUCUAGCAGGUGUACAACACUGUCUAGACCUUAGUGUAGGCUUUAAACACUCUUGGAACAGCUACUCUCAGCUCAAGAAACAAGCACAGUGAAGCAAGGGGGCAUUUUUGUGGCAUACACCUUAAGGGCUUCUUUCCAUCUGUGGCCGCAGGACUCGGGAUCUGUGUCACCGAGUAUCUGACCCUUUGAUGGCUCGGUCUUUGUUCACACAGAAAGGAUUCAUACUGGAGCCAUGACAACGAUUAGAAAAGCUAGCAUGGUCCCUGGAUGACUUCACUACCAUCUGGUCAUAGCGACGGUUAAAAGUUGUCAGGGACUCACCCGGGAGACAGGCCUUCGGGCACAUCUGUGAAGAAUUUCCUUGACUAGGCUAACAUGAAACAGUAUUUUAAAAAAACUGAUUUAAAACAUUUUAAAGAUUUGUGAUGCAUGUUCUGUCUGUCUGUCUACCAAGUGCAUGCCUGGUACCCUAGGAGACAGAGGAGGCCAAUAAAUUGCCUGGAACUGGAGUUAUAGAUGGCUGUGAUCCACCAUAUAGGUGCUGGGAACCAAAUCCUGGUCUUCUGGAAGAUCAACCAGAGCUUUUAAACACGGAGCCAUCUCUCUAACUACUAAAGACUGAUUUUGAAGUUUUUUGAACUAAUUAGUUAAUUAAUUAAUGUUACAGAGCAUAUGUGGAUGUCACAGGGCAACUUACAUAAGAUGGUCUUCUUCCACCAUGUGGGUUUUGGGAAUCAAACUCAAACUGUCAGGCCUGGCAUUUUUACCCACUGAGCCCAGAAGCUGCCUCUUGGAUAAUGUUUUGUGUUUGUAUUUGCUUCACUUUCUCACACUUAAAAAAAAAGAUGUAUUUAUUUAUUUUAUGUAUAUGAAUACUGUUGCUGUCUACACACCAUAAAGGGCAUCAGAUCCCAUUACAGAUGGUUGGGAGCCACCAUGUGGUUGCUGGGAUUUGAACUCAGGACCUCUGGAAGAGGAGUCAGUGCUCUUAACCGCUGAGCCACCUCUCCAGCCCCACUUUCCCACACUUAAUGUAUUAAAAUAAAUGUUUUGGGGCAGCAAGGUAGCUUACAGGCAAAGUACCUGGCACCUGUGCAGAGAAGCCGUUCAGUCCCAAGAACCCACAGUGGGAAGAGAGAACUGACUCCCAAAAGCUCCUCACCUCCACACUAGCAAACAUUCUCUCGCACUUACAAACACGCGCAGGGUAAAGUAUUUAACAGUUUAGCCCUCAGGGACUGUUAGCAGACACUCCCUUCCUACCUGUACUUUUUACAAAGGGGCACAUUUAGGUUUAUAGGUGGAACAGGAGUGAAGCGCACAGUUCUGGACCCGCACUGCCCCAGGCUCCCACUGUAUCCAGCAUUGCGGAGGCGCGCCUGCUGGACGUGAUGAACAACGUGAGCUGAUGUCCUCAUUGCUGAGAGUUCCUAGCUUCCAUUAGGCUUUGCUGUUUGUGUGCACUCUGCAAUGUGUUGACAAUUGGAACCUAUCAUGCUGUGUCUACAGAAUGUUCCACCUAUUCCCACCCUGACAAUCUCCAGCGACUACUCAUCUCUUUCCUGUCUCCAUAGCUUUUCUUUUUUCAGAGUGUCAUGGAGUAGCAAUGGCAUUUGAGAGACAGUGUCUUUUUAUGGUUUGUUAAUACUUUUCUUUUUACUGAUGAAUCAUAUCUCGUUUUGUGGGUCUAUCGGUUUGUCUAAUUUGGGGGAUUUUUUGUUUUGUUCCAGAACAGUCUCACUAUGUAGCCAAAGCUACCCUUAUUUGCAAUCCUCCUGCCUCAGCCUUCUCAGUUCUGAGAUUACAAGCAUGUGCCACCAUAUCCUUUUUUUUUUUUUUUAAUAAGAAAAGAAACAACAAUAAUUUUAAAAUCCCAAAAACAAAACUCUGCAGUUGGGCUUGGUGGUUCAUACCUGGAAUCACAGCACUUGGGAGGCUGAAACAGAGUCAAGGCCAGCCUAGGUUAUUUAGCAAGACCCUGUCUCGAUCAAUCAAUCUGGAAAGCCAUUUAGAGAAGGGAGACAAAUCUUGAGAAGAGUAGAAUGCUGGUUCUGGGUUCUGGGCCAGUCUGGUGAGCAGGGAAGCUUGCAGAGAGCAGGAGGCUCGCAGAGAAGGACAGUCCUGUGGGUAGCCAGAGUAGGCAAUUAAUGUGAGCCCUAGGCUAUCUGGGAGGAAGGUUUGGAGGUGUGACGGGUGCUGGAGCUUCUGAGAGCUCAUCUUGCUCUCUGUUGCUCUGUGCCUUCAAGACUUCCUGCUGGGAAGAGGAGACACACACCUACCCACUUUCUACAGUUCCCUGGCAGGUACAGUUAGGAAAGGCUGGCCACAAAGUCAUCCUUUUAAAAAACACACUGAAAAAAUUUCCCAGGGGAACAAGAGCUAGAAAUUUAGCAUAUUCUUUGCCAAACUGGCAGUCUGCUUGGUUACUGGGACCCAAUUCACCAGCUGAUUACAUCUGUCUGAUACCACUUGUGAUGCUCAGCCCAGGGAGUGGCACUAUUAGAAAGUGUAGCCUUGGUGAAGUAGGUAUGUCACUGUGGGUAUGGGCUUUAACACCCUCAUCCUAGGUGCCUGGAAGUCAGUAUUUUGCUAGCAGCCUUCAGAUGAAGAUGUAGAACUCUCAGCAUCUCCUGCACCAUGCCUGCCUGGAUACUGCCAUGUUCCUGGCUUGAUGAUAAUGGACUGAACCUCUGAACCUGUAAGCCAGCCACAAUUAAAUGUUGUCCUUAUAAGAGUUGCCUUGGGGGCUGGCGAGAUGGCUCGGAGGUUAAGAGCACUGGCUGCUCUCCCAAAGGCCCUGAGUUCAAAUCCCAGCAACCACAUGGUGGCUCACAAGCAUCCGUAAUGAGAUCUGACGCCCUCUUCUGGUGUAUCUGAAGACAGCUACAGUGUACUUAGAUAUAAUAAAUAAAAUCUUAAAAAAAAAAAAAAAAAAAGCCGGGUGUGGUGGCGCACGCCUUUAAUCCCAGCACUCAGGAGGCAGAGGCAGGCGGAUUUCUGAGUUUGAGGCCAAGCCUGGUCUACAAAGUGAGUUCCAGGACAGCCAGGGCUAUAAAGAGAAACCCUGUCUCGAAAAACCAAAAAAAAAAAAAAAAAAAAAAAGAUUUGCUUUUUGCUUUGUUCAUGUUCAUUCACAGCAGUAAAACCCUAAGAUACCACUGAACACUCAAAUGGCAGGUCCAUUCUGACACCACAGCUGGAUGAGGCUUAAAAAGGCAUCUGGUCUACCCUUAUGAUUGCCACUUGGGUCCACCAAUAGGUGAUCUUAUGUCCUCUGUCCGUCUGCCCUCCCAGGGCCAGCCAGCCAGCCUGUUCAUUUUGACAGCUCAAAUGCUGACAAAGAUCUCCUGAAACUAAAGCCCCCUUCCCUGUAGGGUGCUGUUUCCAUGAGCAGCUGCACAGGCAGUUAUAACCCAUGCUCUGGCGCUGUGCAGGUCAGCUGAAAUGCUGCUCUGCAGAGAUCUAUGCAGGGUUCCCAGUCUCCACUUGUCAACAACCCCAUUUUUAUGAAGUUAGUGUUGGGAUCUAUCACCUCCCAGGUUCUUUGAAUUUUCCUCUAUCUUCACUCCAAUAUUCCUUAUCCCCAGUUAAGGAUAAUUAACAGCAUUUUUGUGAUGUUAAAUAUUUAGGUUGAGGUUGAACACACCUCUAAUCACAGCACUUACGAACUAGAGGCCUAAGAUUCAUGGUAAUUUCAGGGUCAGUCAGCUUGGUCAACAUGGUCAACAAAGAGUAAUCAAAUUAUAAGCUGAAUUGUGGCAAUGGCUAAUACUAAUUAGAGGACCGGAGAUGUGCCUUAAUUGGAAGAGUGCUUAAGUAGCACUCACAGAGCCCUAGGUUCAAUCUCCAGCACUGCAUAAGUCAGCGGGAACUAUGGCACAUGCCUAUAUAUCCAGCAUUUGGAAGUUAGAGGCAGGAGACUCAGAAGUUCAAAAUCAACCUCUACCAUGCUACGAGUUUAAUGACACAAGGCUACAUGGAACUGUCUCUCAGAAAGAAAAAAAUAAAGCAAUAGAGACUAUGUUCGUACUAAAUCUGCCAGUGCUGCCAGCUGUCUAUAACUGCCCACAAAGUCUGGAGUGCAAAUGGAGACCAGGACAGAGCUAGGACCACCCACCCUCCAGUGUCCCACUUCCCUUGUAUUGACAAGUCCACAGCCUGCUCUCUUGCUGAUACUUUCCAUUUAUUACUGCAGUAGACAAUCCUCUCAAAGUGCAACACGAAAACUCGCUGCCACAGCCCCUGCUCUUUCCCCUCCCGCAAUCCCCUGGAAAUUCAUUCUUGGGAGCACUGACAAGUUUUUCUCUGGAUGAAAAAGUACCCCAUUGCCAGUGUCACAGGGAAAAUACACAAACGUGGGGAAAAAAAAAAAAAAAGGAGAAAGGCUCUUGAGAGGAGUGGUGUCUAGCAGCAACUAUCGUGCUGGUCACAUUGGCUCCGGCAGGCCUCUCCUGUUUGGGGAACAGAUGAUACCACAACCAUAACUAUCUGGUAUCUCAGCCUACCAGAGGCCUGUGGAGUCAAAAUAAAUGGAGAGACUUCUCCAGCUAGCUUGAAAAGAAGUGGGUUUGGGUAAACUGAGUGUUCACUUUCCCCUUGAGCUGUUAGGCAGAGCACCUGGAAGAACACUGGGGUUAAGCUGCUGCCCAACAGUUAGAGCCCCUCUAAUGAGCACACUUUGGAUGGGAGGGAAAAAACCCAACUGUCAAAUACUAAGACCAAGGACAGGGAAAGACAAAUAGCUCUAGAAAACACAAGAGAUUCAAAUAUCUCAACAAAUGAGGUUAAAAGGGCAAACAAAACAUCUAACCAGACCACUAGACCUGACACAGGCCUCACUCAUAAACACAUUGUACACGCGUACACACACACACAAACACACACACACACAAACACACACA
Long non-coding RNA from Mus musculus (house mouse), 7013 nucleotides. RefSeq annotates it as predicted gene, 53571. The transcript has 2 exons. NCBI's taxonomy places the organism in Eukaryota, Metazoa, Chordata, Mammalia, Rodentia, Muridae. The record is from RefSeq and is a predicted model, not a curated record.